GAUGAAGAACGUAGCGAAAUGCGAUACGUAAUGUGAAUUGCAGAAUUCAGUGAAUCAUCGAGUCUUUGAACGCACAUUGCGCCCCCUGGUAUUCCGGGGGGCAUGCCUGUCCGAGCGUCAUUGCUGCCCUCAAGCCCGGCUUGUGUGUUGGGUCUCGUCCCCCUUCCCGGGGGGACGGGCCCGAAAGGCAGCGGCGGCACCGCGUCCGGUCCUCGAGCGUAUGGGGCUUUGUCACCCGCUCUGUAGGCCCGGCCGGCGCUUGCCGAUCAACCAAAACUUUUUUCCAGGUUGACCUCGGAUCAGGUAGGGAUACCCGCUGAACUUAAGCAUAUCAAUAAGCGGAGGG
This 346-nucleotide unclassified non-coding RNA is filed under the name soil metagenome. Its description in RNAcentral is "partial contains 5.8S ribosomal RNA, internal transcribed spacer 2, and large subunit ribosomal RNA". The stretch from base 1 to 120 matches the Rfam family "5.8S ribosomal RNA", at positions 35 to 154 of the family's 154-position model. The record is from RNAcentral.